This 445-nucleotide ribosomal RNA is filed under the name uncultured bacterium. Its description in RNAcentral is "partial 16S ribosomal RNA". It matches the Rfam family "Bacterial small subunit ribosomal RNA", at positions 354 to 796 of the family's 1533-position model. The record is from RNAcentral.
GUAAGGAAUAUUGGUCAAUGGACGCAAGUCUGAACCAGCCAUGCCGCGUGAAGGAUGAAGGUCCUCUGGAUUGUAAACUUCUUUUAUCUGGGACGAAAAAAGGGUUUUCUAACUCGACUGACGGUACCAGAUGAAUAAGCACCGGCUAACUCCGUGCCAGCAGCCGCGGUAAUACGGAGGGUGCAAGCGUUAUCCGGAUUCACUGGGUUUAAAGGGUGCGCAGGCGGAUAUGUAAGUCAGUGGUGAAAUCUCUGGGCUUAACCCGGAAACUGCCGUUGAUACUAUAUAUCUUGAAUGCCGUGGAGGUAAGCGGAAUAUGUCAUGUAGCGGUGAAAUGCUUAGAUAUGACACAGAACACCGAUCGCGAAGGCAGCUAGCUAAGCUAUAACUGACGCUCAUGCACGAAAGCGUGGGGAUCAAACAGGAUUAGAAACCCGUGUAGUCC